This is a long non-coding RNA of Homo sapiens (human), 1210 nucleotides long. RefSeq annotates it as lncRNA antisense to PTPRE protein-coding gene. The record is from RefSeq and is marked validated. Lineage: Eukaryota; Metazoa; Chordata; Mammalia; Primates; Hominidae. The transcript is spliced from 4 exons.
CAGCCAGGAUCGUCAGGUUUCCUGAGGUUUCCAGCUGGGCACAUUCCUGAUGGCCUCUGCGUGUGCACAUGUGUGUCCUUUUUUCUUAGAGAUUCUGCAUUUGUAACAACUUCCCAGGUGAUUUUGAUGGACGCUGACUUUCAGAGCUCAUUGCCCUAAAGACUCCUGGCCUAAGAGUGAGGAAGUCUGAGGAAUCUGGUUUCAGCUCCACUGAUAUCUAACCGCACGUACACCAGGUCCUGCAGAUGACAACCUCUGGUGGAACGGAGUGAUGCUGGAUUCAGUACUCAACACACAAGUGUCAGCUCCUGGGAAGGGCAAAAGCAGCUUCACAGCGACACCAGGGAUGGCAGAGAUGUUCUUCCUCAGCGUUCCCAUGGAGAACACUAGUGUCCUGAGAGAGAAUGCACCUGCUUUGGUGAACACUGACUGUCUCAGCUGUGGCAUGACGACAAGGUCUUUCUACAGGCAAAAGUCAAGCCUGCCUGACAUGCAAAGCACCUUGACCUCUGACCCCAGAGCUCCCCAGGGCCACAUGCCUGCCCAGAGCCAAGGACCAUCUUAUGACUCUGGCUUGGAGGAAAUGCCAACUGACUCCAGCAGCACAACCUGGAGAACGCGGCUCAGAGAAGACUUGAGAACGUGGCUCAGAGAAGACUUGCAGUGGGUGGGCCCGGCCUCUUCCAGGUGGGGGACUCCCAGGUGAGGCCACUGCUCUGCCCUGGGCCAUCACACUUUGAGAAGGGGACUGGGUGUAGGUAAUGCCCACACUUGGCCAUGAUUCUGCUUCCACAGAGGUCCCAGCUAAAUAGUCUUAAUUAACAAUGUGAUGUUACCUUUAAGGGAUGAAGGUUUAGUGAUUGAGAGAAAUGAGGAAUUCAGGAAUGUGCUUAGCACUGAGCGGUUUCUUAACACAUAUGGUUGGCAAAUCAAGGCACAACUUAAAACCACUCAAUUAAGGUAAUAAAUUAAGCAGUGAAACUAAUUUCUAAAUAUCCCAAAUUUGACACACAUUAUUCCAAAGAUCUCAGACCUCCUCCUGCCAUGGCCUUCCUUUCCUUUGAGCUGCUCAAGCCAUGUAAGUUGCCUCCCCUCUUUCUGUGAUAUCUUCUACCCAUUGGCAACAAAUCCUCUCCAAAGUGUGCAGCAUCUAGCCAUGUCUGAGCUACUGUCAAGGCUCAGCUGUGUGGCCACCACAUGACCUCCUGAC